This 267-nucleotide ribosomal RNA is filed under the name uncultured Cortinarius. Its description in RNAcentral is "partial 28S ribosomal RNA". It matches the Rfam family "Eukaryotic large subunit ribosomal RNA", at positions 1 to 259 of the family's 3401-position model. The record is from RNAcentral. Lineage: Eukaryota; Fungi; Basidiomycota; Agaricomycetes; Agaricales; Cortinariaceae.
GUGACCUCAAAUCAGGUAGGACUACCCGCUGAACUUAAGCAUAUCAAUAAGCGGAGAAAAAGAAACUAACAAGGAUUCCCCUAGUAACUGCGAGUGAAGCGGGAAAAGCUCAAAUUUAAAAUCUGGCGGCCUUUUUGCUGUCCGAGUUGUGAUCUAGAGAAGUGUUAUCCGCGCUGGACCGUGUACAAGUCUCCUGGAAUGGAGCAUCAUAGAGGGUGAGAAUCCCGUCUUUGACAUGGACUACCAGGGCUUUGUGAUGCGCUCUCA